RNAcentral lists this ribosomal RNA (352 nucleotides) under Escherichia coli. RNAcentral describes it as "bacterial SSU rRNA". It matches the Rfam family "Bacterial small subunit ribosomal RNA", at positions 1 to 349 of the family's 1533-position model. Lineage: Bacteria; Pseudomonadati; Pseudomonadota; Gammaproteobacteria; Enterobacterales; Enterobacteriaceae. The record is from RNAcentral.
AAAUUGAAGAGUUUGAUCAUGGCUCAGAUUGAACGCUGGCGGCAGGCCUAACACAUGCAAGUCGAACGGUAACAGGAAGCAGCUUGCUGCUUCGCUGACGAGUGGCGGACGGGUGAGUAAUGUCUGGGAAACUGCCUGAUGGAGGGGGAUAACUACUGGAAACGGUAGCUAAUACCGCAUAACGUCGCAAGACCAAAGAGGGGGACCUUCGGGCCUCUUGCCAUCGGAUGUGCCCAGAUGGGAUUAGCUUGUUGGUGGGGUAACGGCUCACCAAGGCGACGAUCCCUAGCUGGUCUGAGAGGAUGACCAGCCACACUGGAACUGAGACACGGUCCAGACUCCUACGGGAGGC